This 686-nucleotide long non-coding RNA is filed under the name Theobroma cacao (cacao). RNAcentral's name for it is "long non-coding RNA (TCAC_LNC002172)". Lineage: Eukaryota; Viridiplantae; Streptophyta; Magnoliopsida; Malvales; Malvaceae. The record is from RNAcentral.
AAACCAAGCUGGUAAAAUUUCAAAACAGACUUCGCGCGGUCAAUUGCAGACAGCCCCCGCCCCUCCUCCCCUGAUUAUUCUCCGAACAAUGCUCCUCCAAUUUUGCAACCCUGGCAGCUAUCGUCAAGGCCUGAGCUGGGCGACUGAUGGUGACGAAAUCUAUAUCAGUCUCUGUUGAGCCACAAGUUUAAUGACAUUUUCCAUGUCAAAUAUCCGUCUUAUCCAGCUGCUUCAUGGUAUUUCCAGUCUAAAUAUAUAGCUGAAAUUUGAGACAUUUGGGAGUGCUGAAGCCUGCAAUUUCCUAUAUAUAUGCUUCCCUAUCUCAUAUGUUAUCAAGUUCAACUUUUUUGCAGAAGGACUUUGUUUGAGCAAACAAAGACUUUUUUGCAGAAGGAUCUAACGAGUCUGCUAAUCUUAAGGAGAUAGAACUUCUGGCUGCCUCCAUCUUAAUUCAUCUUCUUGACCAGGUAUGUAGCUACACCAAAGGUAUCCUGGUAGUAAAAAUUCCAACAAGGAUUUAUUCUGAAAGAAAAACAUUUGUCAAUCGUUUUGUACUUCUCCUUCACUUUCUGUGAACAGAGAAUGACUCAUUAAAUAUUAGCAUCUAAAUUCUUUGUCCUGCGGUUGGGAAGUAAUUACAACGAGUUUUUACAUUAAAAUGCAUCUCACAUUUGCUGUUGACGUCC